RNAcentral lists this ribosomal RNA (402 nucleotides) under uncultured bacterium. Its description in RNAcentral is "bacterial SSU rRNA". It matches the Rfam family "Bacterial small subunit ribosomal RNA", at positions 355 to 774 of the family's 1533-position model. The record is from RNAcentral.
UGGGGAAUAUUGGACAAUGGGCGCAAGCCUGAUCCAGCCAUGCCGCGUGAGUGAUGAAGGCCUUAGGGUUGUAAAGCUCUUUCGGCGGGGAAGAUAAUGACGGUACCCGCAGAAGAAGCCCCGGCUAACUUCGUGCCAGCAGCCGCGGUAAUACGAAGGGGGCUAGCGUUGCUCGGAAUCACUGGGCGUAAAGCGCACGUAGGCGGCUUACUAAGUCAGGGGUGAAAUCCUGGAGCUCAACUCCAGAACUGCCUUUGAUACUGGUGAGCUUGAGUUCGGGAGAGGUGAGUGGAACUGCGAGUGUAGAGGUGAAAUUCGUAGAUAUUCGCAAGAACACCAGUGGCGAAGGCGGCUCACUGGCCCGAUACUGACGCUGAGGUGCGAAAGCGUGGGGAGCAAACA